GGCCCGGUGGCUCAGCUGGUUAGAGCGCCGCCCUGUCGCGGCGGAGGUCGUGGGUUCGAACCCCAUCCGGGUCG
RNAcentral lists this transfer RNA (74 nucleotides) under Lachnospiraceae bacterium. RNAcentral describes it as "tRNA-Asp". It matches the Rfam family "tRNA". Rfam says of the family: Transfer RNA (tRNA) molecules are approximately 80 nucleotides in length. Their secondary structure includes four short double-helical elements and three loops (D, anti-codon, and T loops). Lineage: Bacteria; Bacillati; Bacillota; Clostridia; Lachnospirales; Lachnospiraceae. The record is from RNAcentral.